GGAAAAGAAACUAACAAGGAUUCCCGUAGUAACUGCGAGUGAAGAGGGAAAAGCUCAAAUUUAAAAUCUGGCAGUGUUUCACUGUCCGAGUUGUAACCUAGAGAAGUGUAACCUGCGCUGGACCGUGUAUAAGUCUCCUGGAAUGGAGCAUCACUGAGGGUGAGAAUCCCGUCUUUGACACGGACCACCAGUGCAUUGUGGUUGUGCUCUCAACGAGUCGAGUUGUUUGGGAAUGCAGCUCUAAAUGGGUGGUAAAUUCCAUCUAAAGCUAAAUAUUGGCGAGAGACCGAUAGCGAACAAGUACCGUGAGGGAAAGAUGAAAAGAACUUUGGAAAGAGAGUUAAACAGUAUGUGAAAUUGUUGAAAGGGAAACGUUUGAAGUCAGUCGCGUCGGUUGGGGAUCAGCCUGACAUUGUUGGGUGUACUUCCUGGUUGACGGGCCAACGUCAGUUUUGAUUGCCAGAAAAAGGCCAAAGGAAUGUGGCACCUUUGGGUGUGUUAUAGCCCUUGGUCGUAUAUGGUGGUUGGGACUGAGGAAAGCAGCGUGCCGAAAGGCCGGGUUUCGACCACGUUCACGCUGAGGAUGUUGGCAUAAUGGCUUUAAGCGACCCGUCUUGAAACACGGACCAAGGAGUCUAACAUGCAUGCGAGUGUUUGGGUGGAAAACCCUUACGCGUAAUGAAAGUGAAAGUUGAGAUCCCUGUCGUGGGGAGCAUCGACGCCCGGACCAGAACUUUUGGGACGGAUCUGCGGUAGAGCACGUAUGUUGGGACCCGAAAGAUGGUGAACUAUGCCUGAAUAGGGUGAAGCCAGAGGAAACUCUGGUGGAGGCUCGUAGCGAUUCUGACGUGCAAAUCGAUCGUCAAAUUUGGGUAUAGGGGCGAAAGACUAAUCGAACCAUCUAGUAGCUGGUUCCUGCCGA
RNAcentral lists this ribosomal RNA (922 nucleotides) under Amanita flavorubens. Its description in RNAcentral is "partial 28S ribosomal RNA". It matches the Rfam family "Eukaryotic large subunit ribosomal RNA", at positions 55 to 964 of the family's 3401-position model. Lineage: Eukaryota; Fungi; Basidiomycota; Agaricomycetes; Agaricales; Amanitaceae. The record is from RNAcentral.